This 958-nucleotide long non-coding RNA is filed under the name Helianthus annuus (common sunflower). Its description in RNAcentral is "hypothetical non coding rna". The record is from RNAcentral. Lineage: Eukaryota; Viridiplantae; Streptophyta; Magnoliopsida; Asterales; Asteraceae.
AAACUCUCGAUAUCAUUUUACACCACUCACGUCACCCACCAAAUCAGAGAGAGAGAGAAAGCCGCCGGCAAAGGAGGAAGCUGACCUCCGGUGACCGGCCUUGGGUCCAUGAAACUUCGGCGAGUCAGAUCUGUCGUGCAUAUCCCGUUUUGGUGUAACUCCUACCUAUUGCUUCACUGCUCCGGCAACUGAUGAAGGAUUACGGUGGUUUUGGUUUUGAGCUGGUGGUUGAUGAUGAUGGGUUUUUGUUGCUCGCCGAGUGAAACGGGUAGAGGUGAUUCCAACAAGUGGGAUUGUCACAAUUGAUGGGUUUUUGCAGCUGAAAGCAAUUGGGGGUAGUAAUCACCGGUAGCUGAGACGACUGCCGGCGGCAGAAACGACUCCGACAGUCGGACACUGGUCAAGAGAGGAGAGAACCCUCUCGAUUUCAACUUCAACUUCCAAGUUUGGGAUCUCUAAUCUUUUCUCAUCAAAAACUUCCGGUGAGUGAAGGUUUUUGGCAUUUUGAUUAUGAACCAUUGUUGCUGCAACUCUGCAAGGGACACUUUGGGGACACUUUGGGUCAGGUAGUCAUCUUUGGUAGUUGGAGCUUUGGUUCUUAAAGUGUAAGGCUUGAUUCACAUAGGAGAGACACUCUCAGGUCGGUAUUAAUUCGAGUUCAUCUACGUUUCACGUCAUGUGAGUCACUUGAUCGUUUUUCCGGUUUUGAUCAUCGUUGGGUUUCUAUUUAGCAUGUUUUUUCGCCCCCACCUCUAAUUGCACAGUUUUACGCCCCCCCCCCCCCGCCCCGCAACGCGGGGGGCUCAAUUCUAGUUCAUAAACAUUACCCGUAGCUGAAUUCCAGAUAAAAACGCCAAUUUUCCACUUCACGAGGGUCAACCUUAUUUAUUUGCAUUCAUACCAUAGAGAGUUGCCAUAAAUGAAAAAUAUGAAAUGAAAAAUAAAAAAAAAAAAAAAA